Molecule: transfer RNA, 72 nt
Filed under: Ovis aries (sheep)
Lineage: Eukaryota; Metazoa; Chordata; Mammalia; Artiodactyla; Bovidae
Rfam family: tRNA
About the family: Transfer RNA (tRNA) molecules are approximately 80 nucleotides in length. Their secondary structure includes four short double-helical elements and three loops (D, anti-codon, and T loops).
Source: Rfam by way of RNAcentral
UCCCUGGUGGCUUAGCGGUAAAGAAUCUGUCUGUCAAUGCAGGAGACCCAGAUUCGAUCUCUGGGUUGGGAA